GUGCCCGUUGGCCUACUGGUAACGCUUUUGUCUUCCGUUCUGAAGGUCCCGGGUUCGAUUCCUCAUGGGUGCA
This is a non-coding RNA of Caenorhabditis brenneri, 73 nucleotides long. The record is from the annotation of a GenBank genome assembly. Lineage: Eukaryota; Metazoa; Nematoda; Chromadorea; Rhabditida; Rhabditidae.